RNAcentral lists this ribosomal RNA (468 nucleotides) under uncultured bacterium. Its description in RNAcentral is "partial 16S ribosomal RNA". It matches the Rfam family "Bacterial small subunit ribosomal RNA", at positions 28 to 507 of the family's 1533-position model. The record is from RNAcentral.
GAUGAACGCUGGCGGCGUGCUUAAUACAUGCAAGUCGAACGGACAGACGAUGCUUUUGUGGGGUGCUCGAGUGGCGAACGGGUGAGUAAAACGUGAGUAACAUGCCCUUGUAUUUGGGAUAAAUUCAGGAAAAUGGGGAUAAUAUCGGGUAGGAGAUCCUGCUGCAUGGUGGGGGAUGGUAAGUUACGGUGGUUGGGGAUGGUAUCGCGGCUUAUGAGCUUGUUGGUGGGGUAGUGGCUUACCAAGGUUUUGACGGGUACCCGGCCUGAGAGGGUGACCGGCCACAUUGGGACUGCGAUACGGCCCAGACGCCUACGGGAGGCAGCAGGGGGGAAUAUUGCACAAUGGGCGGAAGCCUGAUGCAGCAACGCCGCGUUCGGGAUGACGGCCUUCGGGGUGUAAACCGCUUUCGCCGUAGACGAAGCGUGAGUGACGGUAAUGGGUAAAGAAGCACCGGCUAACUACGUG